Molecule: long non-coding RNA, 839 nt
Organism: Mustela lutreola (European mink)
Lineage: Eukaryota; Metazoa; Chordata; Mammalia; Carnivora; Mustelidae
Exons: 3
Source: RefSeq, a predicted model, not a curated record
CAGCUUCGCCGCGCGGCGCGGGCUCCAGCCAGGUGCGGAGGUACCUGCUCUCGGCCGGCGGGACGCCCUGGGGCUGCAGCACUGUUCCUGGGAGGGGUUGGCCAAGAGACGCCAGGGAUGGAAGACAGUCAGGCUCCAGGCCCCGGGUGGCUGUGCAGGUUUGUGAGAGGCCCAGAGAGAAGUAAGGAGCCCUGGUGGAUGGGGACCCUGGGCCCAGCGCCAGACCUGGGCAAGGCCUCACUGAUACACCUGCCCAGUCACCGCCUCUCCGCCUCCCUCUCUGCAGCUACAGGUCUCCACAGAUAAGAUUUCUCACCUUGGAAUUGUUAUCAAGGGGCGUCUACACUCGCCGGCGCUAGUGCCUGUAUUCCAGGGUCACUCAGGGCAGCUCUGAGAGGCCAAAGCCCUGCUUUGAGCCUGCAGUCGAGACAGUGGAGGGGAGUGCUGAGAAAGUGGCUGCAGGAGACAUAGACGGAAAAGCAGAGUGUGAGAAAGUACCAGGAACACUAGGGAGCCAACAGAAGAGUAUGACUGGCACAGGAAGCGGGUUGACCUGAAGAGUCGCUGCGCUGCGAAGUCACCCUGCCAGAAAUAUCCUGGGGGUGCCCCCUGGCUCCGCAGAGGCUGAGCUGCCCCAGGUAAGACUGUCCAUUCCGAAUUCAUAAACGAACCUGAGAGGCUGAGGACUCCGACUGGGACGCAGAGAACAAGUUUGCAUCUUCCUUUCCUGGCCUUCAUUCAGCCUGGGCCCUUCGCUCCCCGCCCCCACCGAUGUCCCCCUCCAGCCACCUCUCCCCCUCCAGACACCCACAGCGUCGCAGGUGCUCACGCACACGCCC